RNAcentral lists this ribosomal RNA (170 nucleotides) under uncultured bacterium. RNAcentral describes it as "partial 16S ribosomal RNA". It matches the Rfam family "Bacterial small subunit ribosomal RNA", at positions 338 to 502 of the family's 1533-position model. The record is from RNAcentral.
CCUACGGGAGGCAGCAGUGGGGAAUAUUGGACAAUGGGCGAAAGCCUGAUCCAGCCAUGCCGCGUGUGUGAAGAAGGCCUUCGGAUUGUAAAGCACUUUAAGUUGGGAGGAAGGGCAGUUACUUAAUACCUGCACUUUGACGUUACCGACAGAAUAAGCACGGCAUCAGG